GCUCCCAUCGUCUAGCCUGGCCUAGGACAUCACCUUUUCACGGUGAAGACAGGGGUUCAAAUCCCCUUGGGAGUACCA
Molecule: transfer RNA, 78 nt
Filed under: bacterium
Lineage: Bacteria
Description: tRNA-Glu
Rfam family: tRNA
About the family: Transfer RNA (tRNA) molecules are approximately 80 nucleotides in length. Their secondary structure includes four short double-helical elements and three loops (D, anti-codon, and T loops). Further hydrogen bonds mediate the characteristic L-shaped molecular structure. tRNAs have two regions of fundamental functional importance: the anti-codon, which is responsible for specific mRNA codon recognition, and the 3' end, to which the tRNAs corresponding amino acid is attached (by aminoacyl-tRNA synthetases). tRNAs cope with the degeneracy of the genetic code in two manners: having more than one tRNA (with a specific anti-codon) for a particular amino acid; and 'wobble' base-pairing, i.e. permitting non-standard base-pairing at the 3rd anti-codon position.
Source: RNAcentral